AUCCAGCGCACUCACCUAUCCACUAAACAGCAACUUCAAUUUGUUUUAAAAAAACAAAUAAAAUCUGUCAACAUUGAAGUUGCUGUUUAGUGGAUAGAUGAGUGUGUUGGAU
Molecule: microRNA precursor, 112 nt
Filed under: Pelobates cultripes (western spadefoot toad)
Lineage: Eukaryota; Metazoa; Chordata; Amphibia; Anura; Pelobatidae
Source: RNAcentral